Molecule: ribosomal RNA, 1076 nt
Filed under: Enterococcus faecium
Lineage: Bacteria; Bacillati; Bacillota; Bacilli; Lactobacillales; Enterococcaceae
Description: bacterial SSU rRNA
Rfam family: Bacterial small subunit ribosomal RNA
Source: RNAcentral
UCAGGGCGGGUGCUAUACAUGCAAGUCGAACGCGUUGGCCCAAUUGAUUGAUGGUGCUUGCACCUGAUUGAUUUUGGUCGCCAACGAGUGGCGGACGGGUGAGUAACACGUAGGUAACCUGCCCAGAAGCGGGGGACAACAUUUGGAAACAGAUGCUAAUACCGCAUAACAACGUUGUUCGCAUGAACAACGCUUAAAAGAUGGCUUCUCGCUAUCACUUCUGGAUGGACCUGCGGUGCAUUAGCUUGUUGGUGGGGUAAUGGCCUACCAAGGCGAUGAUGCAUAGCCGAGUUGAGAGACUGAUCGGCCACAAUGGGACUGAGACACGGCCCAUACUCCUACGGGAGGCAGCAGUAGGGAAUCUUCCACAAUGGGCGCAAGCCUGAUGGAGCAACACCGCGUGAGUGAAGAAGGGUUUCGGCUCGUAAAGCUCUGUUGUUAAAGAAGAACACGUAUGAGAGUAACUGUUCAUACGUUGACGGUAUUUAACCAGAAAGUCACGGCUAACUACGUGCCAGCAGCCGCGGUAAUACGUAGGUGGCAAGCGUUAUCCGGAUUUAUUGGGCGUAAAGAGAGUGCAGGCGGUUUUCUAAGUCUGAUGUGAAAGCCUUCGGCUUAACCGGAGAAGUGCAUCGGAAACUGGAUAACUUGAGUGCAGAAGAGGGUAGUGGAACUCCAUGUGUAGCGGUGGAAUGCGUAGAUAUAUGGAAGAACACCAGUGGCGAAGGCGGCUACCUGGUCUGCAACUGACGCUGAGACUCGAAAGCAUGGGUAGCGAACAGGAUUAGAUACCCUGGUAGUCCAUGCCGUAAACGAUGAGUGCUAGGUGUUGGAGGGUUUCCGCCCUUCAGUGCCGGAGCUAACGCAUUAAGCACUCCGCCUGGGGAGUACGACCGCAAGGUUGAAACUCAAAGGAAUUGACGGGGGGCCCGCACAAGCGGGGGGAGCAUGUGGGUUUAAUUCCAAAGCUACGCGAAAGAACCUUUACCAGGGUCUUGACAUUCUUGCCCCCAACCCCUAAAAGAAUAGGGCGGUUUUCCUUCCGGAAACGCCAAUGGACAGGGUGGGGGCAUGGC